Long non-coding RNA from Micropterus dolomieu (smallmouth bass), 953 nucleotides. RefSeq lists it as uncharacterized. The record is from RefSeq and is a predicted model, not a curated record. The transcript has 4 exons. NCBI's taxonomy places the organism in Eukaryota, Metazoa, Chordata, Actinopteri, Centrarchiformes, Centrarchidae.
GUGUGCCGCUCAAACUCCGAGCGGGACCGAAGAUGUCAAGCUUAUUUACAGCUACUAGCAAUGUCACUGGGUCUGUCGACUAAGGCGCUACUACAAAAGCUGGUGGUGGAAGGAGGCAUUGAAAUUCCGGAGGAGGCGGCUCAGAAAUGUAGAGACGAUGACGUAGAUGGCGAGAGAGUGGAUUGCAUACCCACAGAGAGUAUGAUCGGGUAUCUCUGACAAGUCUGACCAAAAGCUGUUAAAGUUCAGACUUCACACUCUGCUACAAGGAGGUCACCCUUAAUUUGGAAGCAGUCAAGCCAGAACAACAAACAUGUGUCCCAUACAAACCAGAGGUGGGAACCUACUUGACACAGACUGCCUUGCAGAACCGGUCCAAAAGGAACAACAGUACCGCAACAACAUAAUGAGGAGUCUAUAUGAAAUGCAGUGUACAAUUUGUGCGAUGAGGUCGAUGCUAUGCAACCCUUUGCAGUCAACAAUUGCCACCGCUUCAGUGAAAACUUCACAUUUGGAUUUGUCACUGAAAAAAACCCACAUGGAUGAAAGAGAAUCCCGUGGCUGAGGAUAUUAUUACAGGUACUGAUUUUAACACAUACAUUACAAAUGAGGAUGGGGAUCGUUAAUUUUUAUUGAUAUAGAUGACAUUAUUGAGACUGCUUAACAAUCUCAGUCUCUCGAUACACUAUCGAUAGUUCCUAUUAUUUAUUGACUGUUUUUUGGUCAGACCAGACCCAACGGGCAGAGGUAGGUAUGACUUGCGAUAAAUAAAACAAAUAUUGAAGUGUGCAUUUAAACUGCCUGGUUGUUCUUAAAUUAAUUAUAGGAUUAGAAUUUAAUAUUUUAAAUACAACUGUUUCUAGAGCAGCAACAUUAAUGUUUACAACAUCAAGUCACUACAUAAACAAUAUGUGACACCCCAAUACUGAGUGACAUUUAGAAAGAAUGAAAUG